Molecule: ribosomal RNA, 1000 nt
Filed under: uncultured bacterium
Lineage: Bacteria
Description: bacterial SSU rRNA
Rfam family: Bacterial small subunit ribosomal RNA
Source: RNAcentral
AGAGUUUGAUCAUGGCUCAGAACAAACGCUGGCGGCGUGGAUAAGACAUGCAAGUCGAACGGGACUUUUCUUUGUAGCAAUACAGAGGAAAGUCUAGUGGCGAACGGGUGCGUAACACGUGAGCAACCUGCCGUGAAGUGGGGGAUAGCUCGCCGAAAGGCGAAUUAAUACCGCAUGUGGCCAGGAAGGACAUCCUUCCGACGCCAAAGCCGGGGCAACCUGGCGCUUCUCGAGGGGCUCGCGGCCUAUCAGCUUGUUGGUGAGGUAACGGCUCACCAAGGCUAUGACGGGUAGCUGGUCUGAGAGGACGACCAGCCACACUGGAACUGAGACACGGUCCAGACACCUACGGGUGGCAGCAGUCGAGAAUUUUUCACAAUGGGGGAAACCCUGAUGGAGCGACGCCGCGUGGAGGAUGAAGGUUUUCGGAUUGUAAACUCCUGUCAUUAGAGAACAAGGCACACGGUUUAACUGGCCGUGUGUUGAUAGUAUCUGAAGAGGAAGAGACGGCUAACUCUGUGCCAGCAGCCGCGGUAAUACAGAGGUCUCAAGCGUUGUUCGGAUUCAUUGGGCGUAAAGGGUGCGUAGGUGGCGAUGUAAGUCGGAUGUGAAAUCUCCAAGCUUAACUUGGAAACUGCAUUCGAUACUGCGUUGCUAGAGGACUGUAGAGGGCAUUGGAAUUCACGGUGUAGCAGUGAAAUGCGUAGAUAUCGUGAGGAAGACCAGUGGCGAAGGCGAAUGCCUGGGCAGUUCCUGACACUGAGGCACGAAAGGCCAGGGGAGCAAACGGGAUUAGAUACCCCGGUAGUCCUGGCAGUAAACGGUGCACGUUUGGUGUGGGAGGAUUCGACCCCUUUCCGUGCCGGAGCUAACGCGUUAAACGUGCCGCCUGGGGAGUACGGUCGCAGAUUAAACUCAAGAAAUUGACGGGACCCGCACAGCGGUGGAGUAUGUGGCUAAUUCGAUGCAACGCGAGACUUACUGGCUUGACAUGCAUCUC